GUUUUAAAAACAUGGUUUGGAAGUACCGGUUAAAACUGUCCGCAGUGCUUGAGGGAUCUAGCCUGUGGACAUGGCAGGUGUUAUAACAGAGAGGAACAUGGACAUAUGUGGCCCGCCUGCAUCCUGAGCUUCUUAAAGGGGCAUCCCUCUUGUAACAGGACUCACAGGCUUUGUGCUUUUCUUGCAGGAAUAUGGGACGAUCAGGUCUGCGAGUCUCUUGUGUGGGAAUAGGGAGCUGGGUCACACUCGGGUCUCAGAUCUCAGACGAGGCUGCUGAAGAAAUCCUGACCCUCGCCUACGAGAACGGGGUCAACCUGUUUGAUACCGCGGAGACCUACGCUUCUGGAAGG
Chiloscyllium plagiosum (whitespotted bambooshark) is the source of this 350-nucleotide non-coding RNA. NCBI's taxonomy places the organism in Eukaryota, Metazoa, Chordata, Chondrichthyes, Orectolobiformes, Hemiscylliidae. The record is from RefSeq and is a predicted model, not a curated record.